This 253-nucleotide ribosomal RNA is filed under the name uncultured bacterium. Its description in RNAcentral is "partial 16S ribosomal RNA". It matches the Rfam family "Bacterial small subunit ribosomal RNA", at positions 524 to 776 of the family's 1533-position model. The record is from RNAcentral.
GACGAACCGUGCGAACGUUGUUCGGAAUCACUGGGCUUAAAGGGCGCGUAGGCGGCCGGGUUGGUCGUGGGUGAAAUCCCCCAGCUUAACUGGGGAACUGCCUACGAUACUGCCUGGCUCGAGGGAGGAAGGGGCGGUCGGAACUGUCGGUGGAGCGGUGAAAUGCGUUGAUAUCGACAGGAACGCCGGUGGCGAAAGCGGACCGCUGGCCCUCUUCUGACGCUGAGGCGCGAAAGCCAGGGGAGCAAACGGG